This 312-nucleotide ribosomal RNA is filed under the name uncultured bacterium. RNAcentral's name for it is "bacterial SSU rRNA". It matches the Rfam family "Bacterial small subunit ribosomal RNA", at positions 28 to 334 of the family's 1533-position model. The record is from RNAcentral.
GACGAACGCUGGCGGCGUGCCUAAUACAUGCAAGUAGAACGCUGAAGUCUGGUGCUUGCACUAGACGGAUGAGUUGCGAACGGGUGGGUAACGCGUGAGGAACCUACCUCGGAGUGGGGAAUAACAGCCCGAAAGGGUUGCUAAUACCGCAUGAUGCAGUUGUGUCGCAUGACACUGACUGCCAAAGAUUUAUCGCUCUGAGAUGGCCUCGCGUCUGAUUAGCUAGUUGGCGGGGUAACGGCCCACCAAGGCGACGAUCAGUAGCCGGACUGAGAGGUUGACCGGCCACAUUGGGACUGAGACACGGCCCAG